RNAcentral lists this ribosomal RNA (443 nucleotides) under uncultured bacterium. RNAcentral's name for it is "partial 16S ribosomal RNA". It matches the Rfam family "Bacterial small subunit ribosomal RNA", at positions 338 to 795 of the family's 1533-position model. The record is from RNAcentral.
CCUACGGGUGGCAGCAGUGGGGAAUAUUGCGCAAUGGGCGCAAGCCUGACGCAGCAACGCCGCGUGAAGGAUGAAGGCUUUCGGGUUGUAAACUCCUUUUAUUAGGGACGAUACAAAUGAUGUUUCCCGAUGAAUAAGCCACUGCGUACUACGCGCCAGCAGCCGAGGUAAUACGGAGGGGGCAAGCGUUACCCGGAAUUACUGGGUGGAAAGGGCGUGUAGGGGGGAUAGCAAGUCAGACGUGAAAUUCCAUGGCUCAACCCUAGAACUGUGUUUGAAACUGUUCUUCUUGAGUAAGGGAGAGGUAGGCGGAAUUCCGGGUGUAGCGGUAAAAUGCGUAGAGAUAAAGAGGAAGACCAAUGGCGAAGGCGACCUGCUAGAAAAUAACUGACGCUGAGGCGCGAAAGCGUGGGGAGCAAACAGGAUUAGAUACCCUAGUAGUC